Mobula hypostoma (lesser devil ray) is the source of this 493-nucleotide non-coding RNA. NCBI's taxonomy places the organism in Eukaryota, Metazoa, Chordata, Chondrichthyes, Myliobatiformes, Myliobatidae. The record is from the annotation of a RefSeq genome assembly.
GGCGGGUUCAGCCCCGACAACAAAAGCUGAUAAACUGCGCUUCCUCUCAGAUUCCAAACACUGACCCGGCGCAACAAGCAUGUGGCAGGGUCCCUGGUUCGUGGUGCUGCUUUUCAGCUGUAGAAGUGUGGCUCAGACCCUGACCCAGCCCCAGCUAUCGAUUACAACGUUUGCCGGGAAAAGCGAGCUUAUUCGGUGUCAAGUGAAAGGAGACUCCGUAAGCAGCAGUAAACCCCUUCACUGGUACCAACAGAAACCCGGAAAGCCGCUCCAAAGGAUACUCUACUAUGGGGAUAGUGUAACGCGGGAUUCGGAAUUCGGGCCAUCCUUCAAUGCCUUAAAGAUUUCAGAUUCCGAAGUGUACCUCAGAGUCGCGGUUAACACUGACAGCGCCGCCACCUAUUACUGCGCCUUUUGGGUUUACACAGUACGUAACAGAAAGCAAACAUCGCACAAAAAGCUCGACGAGCAGCCAGUCAAAUGGAACCGUUGA